UGAUUUAAGCUUAGUUUGCUAUAAAAUUAUUUAAACUAACACCCAUACCACAACCUUUACCCCUUCAAGGCAAACUUUUCAUUUAGAAUCAUUACCUUUUCCGAUCAUCCCCAGGCUAUAUUAGUUAUUAUUCAACACUUAGGAACCUAGCCCAUCGUUGGGCUUAAUAAACACAAAAUUUAAAGAAUAAGAAGAUAUAUAGAAUAAAGAAGUACCUUGCCAAUAAGGAUCUGCAAAAAUCUUGUACUUUUAUUUAUAUUUCAAAGAUGUACAAUAAUAUUACAAC
This 286-nucleotide long non-coding RNA is filed under the name Nicotiana benthamiana. Its description in RNAcentral is "long non-coding RNA (NBEN_LNC011495)". Lineage: Eukaryota; Viridiplantae; Streptophyta; Magnoliopsida; Solanales; Solanaceae. The record is from RNAcentral.